AAUCAGUUAUGGUUCCUUAGAUCGUUCAUACUACAUGGAUAACUGUGGUAAUUCUAGAGCUAAUACAUGCAAAAAGCUCCGACCGUAUGGGAAGAGCGCUUUUAUUAGACCAAAACCAAUGGGGUCGCAAGACUCCUUUGUAUGGUGACUCUGGAUAACUUUGUGCUGAUCGCAUGGCCUAGAGCCGGCGACGUAUCUUUCAAGUGUCUGCCCUAUCAACUUUCGAUGGUAAGCGAUUUGCCUACCAUGGUUGUAACGGGUAACGGGGAAUCAGGGUUCGAUUCCGGAGAGGGAGCAUGAGAAAUGGCUACCACAUCUACGGAAGGCAGCAGGCGCGCAAAUUACCCACUCCUAGAACGGGGAGGUAGUGACGAAAAAUAACAAUACCGGACUCAAUGAGGCUCGGUAAUUGAAAUGAGUACAGUUUAAAACCCUUAACGAGGAUCUAUUGGAGGGCAAGUCUGGUGCCAGCAGCCGCGGUAAUUCCAGCUCCAAUAGCGUAUAUUAAAGUUGUUGCAGUUAAAAAGCUCGUAGUUGGAUCUCGGGUACUAGCAUGUGGUACGCUUAAUUGCUGUUACUACAUGUCUGGUCCUAAUCAACCGGUUGGCCGUUGAUGUCCUUUAUUGGGUGUUUUCGGUAGCCGGUACGUUUACUUUGAGAAAAUUAGAGUGCUUAAAGCAGGCCUUACGCCUGAAUAAUGUUGCAUGGAAUAAUAGAAUAGGACCUCGGUUCUAUUUUGUUGGUUUUGUAGAGCAUUGAGGUAAUGAUUAAUAGGGACAGACGGGGGCAUUCGUAUUGCGGUGUUAGAGGUGAAAUUCUUGGAUCG
Molecule: ribosomal RNA, 826 nt
Filed under: Brachionus quadridentatus brevispinus
Lineage: Eukaryota; Metazoa; Rotifera; Eurotatoria; Ploima; Brachionidae
Description: SSU rRNA
Rfam family: Eukaryotic small subunit ribosomal RNA
Source: RNAcentral